AAGGGCAUUUGAUCAGACAUGGUGUUUUUUGCAUGCACUCGCCUCUCGUGGGCUUGGGCCUCUCAAAAAUUUCACUGGGCCAACAUCAAUUUUGGCAGCAGGAUAAAUCAUUAAGAAUGUAGCUACUUCGGUAGUGUUAUAGCUUUUUGGAAUACUGUUAGCCGGGAUUGAGGACUGCGCUUCGGCAAGGAUGUUGGCAUAAUG
RNAcentral lists this ribosomal RNA (204 nucleotides) under Hanseniaspora uvarum. RNAcentral describes it as "partial large subunit ribosomal RNA". The record is from RNAcentral. Lineage: Eukaryota; Fungi; Ascomycota; Saccharomycetes; Saccharomycodales; Saccharomycodaceae.